GUGAACUGCGAAUGGCUCAUUAAAUCAGUUAUAGUUUAUUUGAUGGUACCUUGCUACAUGGAUAACUGUGGUAAUUCUAGAGCUAAUACAUGCAAUCAAGCCCCGACUUCCGGAAGGGGUGUAUUUAUUAGAUAAAAAACCAACGCGGUUCGCCGCUCCAUUGGUGAUUCAUAAUAACUUCUCGAAUCGCACGGCCUUGUGCUGGCGAUGCUUCAUUCAAAUAUCUGCCCUAUCAACUUUCGAUGGUAGGAUAGUGGCCUACCAUGGUUUCAACGGGUAACGGGGAAUAAGGGUUCGAUUCCGGAGAGGGAGCCUGAGAAACGGCUACCACAUCCAAGGAAGGCAGCAGGCGCGCAAAUUACCCAAUCCCGACACGGGGAGGUAGUGACAAUAAAUAACAAUAUAGGGCUCUUUUGGGUCUUAUAAUUGGAAUGAGUACAAUUUAAAUCCCUUAACGAGGAACAAUUGGAGGGCAAGUCUGGUGCCAGCAGCCGCGGUAAUUCCAGCUCCAAUAGCGUAUAUUAAAGUUGUUGCAGUUAAAAAGCUCGUAGUUGAACUUCAGACCUGGCCGGAUGGUCUGCCUCACGGUAUGUACUGUCUGGCUGGGCCUUACCUCUUGGUGAGCCGGCAUGCCCUUUACUGGGUGUGUUGGGGAACCAGGACUUUUACCUUGAGAAAAUUAGAGUGUUCAAAGCAGGCCUAUGCCCGAAUACAUUAGCAUGGAAUAAUAAAAUAGGACGUGCGGUUCUAUUUUGUUGGUUUCUAGAGUCGCCGUAAUGAUUAAUAGGGAUAGUUGGGGGCAUUAGUAUUCAGUUGCUAGAGGUGAAAUUCUUGGAUUUACUGAAGACUAACUAUUGCGAAAGCAUUUGCCAAGGAUGUUUUCAUUAAUCAAGAACGAAGGUUAGGGGAUCGAAAACGAUCAGAUACCGUUGUAGUCUUAACAGUAAACUAUGCCGACUAGGGAUCGGGCGAACUCAAUUUUAUGUGUCGCUCGGCACCUUACGAGAAAUCAAAGUCUUUGGGUUCUGGGGGGGAGUAUGGUCGCAAGGCUGAAACUUAAAGGAAUUGACGGAAGGGCACCACCAGGAGUGGAGCCUGCGGCUUAAUUUGACUCAACACGGGGAAACUCACCAGGUCCAGACAUGACUAGGAUUGACAGAUUGAUAGCUCUUUCAUGA
This 1178-nucleotide ribosomal RNA is filed under the name Polyozellus atrolazulinus. Its description in RNAcentral is "SSU rRNA". It matches the Rfam family "Eukaryotic small subunit ribosomal RNA", at positions 82 to 1265 of the family's 1831-position model. The record is from RNAcentral. Lineage: Eukaryota; Fungi; Basidiomycota; Agaricomycetes; Thelephorales; Thelephoraceae.